AAAGAAUUUAGCUUAAUGAAAGUGUUCGAUUUGCGUUCGGAUGAUGCAAGAUAGAGGCUUGUAAUUCUUA
RNAcentral lists this transfer RNA (70 nucleotides) under Dendrolagus dorianus (Doria's tree kangaroo). Its description in RNAcentral is "tRNA-Ala". It matches the Rfam family "tRNA". From Rfam's summary of the family: Transfer RNA (tRNA) molecules are approximately 80 nucleotides in length. Their secondary structure includes four short double-helical elements and three loops (D, anti-codon, and T loops). Further hydrogen bonds mediate the characteristic L-shaped molecular structure. tRNAs have two regions of fundamental functional importance: the anti-codon, which is responsible for specific mRNA codon recognition, and the 3' end, to which the tRNAs corresponding amino acid is attached (by aminoacyl-tRNA synthetases). tRNAs cope with the degeneracy of the genetic code in two manners: having more than one tRNA (with a specific anti-codon) for a particular amino acid; and 'wobble' base-pairing, i.e. permitting non-standard base-pairing at the 3rd anti-codon position. The record is from RNAcentral. Lineage: Eukaryota; Metazoa; Chordata; Mammalia; Diprotodontia; Macropodidae.